AGGAGUGUAGCUCAGUUGGUAGAGCAACGGUCUCCAAAACCGUUGGCCGCGGGUUCGAAUCCUGCCACUCCUGCCA
Molecule: transfer RNA, 76 nt
Filed under: Dehalococcoidales bacterium
Lineage: Bacteria; Bacillati; Chloroflexota; Dehalococcoidia; Dehalococcoidales
Description: tRNA-Trp
Rfam family: tRNA
About the family: Transfer RNA (tRNA) molecules are approximately 80 nucleotides in length. Their secondary structure includes four short double-helical elements and three loops (D, anti-codon, and T loops).
Source: RNAcentral